CUGGAGACAGGUGCUGCAUGGCUGUCGUCAGCUCGUGUCGUGAGAUGUUGGGUUAAGUCCCGCAACGAGCGCAACCCUUGCUUUAGUUGCCAGCAGUUCGGCUGGGCACUCUAAAGGGACUGCCGGUGUUAAGCCGGAGGAAGGUGGGGAUGACGUCAAGUCCUCAUGGCCUUUAUGACCAGGGCUACACACGUACUACAAUGGCCGAUACAAAGGGCAGCGACACUGCGAGGUGAAGCCAAUCCCGUAAAAUCGGUCUCAGUCCGGAUUGGAGUCUGCAACUCGACUCCAUGAAGUUGGAAUCGCUAGUAAUCGUGGAUCAGCAUGCCACGGUGAAUACGUUCCCGGGCCUU
This 353-nucleotide ribosomal RNA is filed under the name uncultured Desulfobulbus sp. RNAcentral's name for it is "bacterial SSU rRNA". It matches the Rfam family "Bacterial small subunit ribosomal RNA", at positions 1028 to 1382 of the family's 1533-position model. The record is from RNAcentral. Lineage: Bacteria; Pseudomonadati; Thermodesulfobacteriota; Desulfobulbia; Desulfobulbales; Desulfobulbaceae.